This is a long non-coding RNA of Clupea harengus (Atlantic herring), 1107 nucleotides long. The record is from Ensembl. Lineage: Eukaryota; Metazoa; Chordata; Actinopteri; Clupeiformes; Clupeidae.
ACGACUUCCGGUUUCAAUACGGAUUCUUUAGGAAAUACGUUUUCCCCGCCGACAGCUCCCAUUGACUUCCAUUUGGCCGGUGCCCAACCAGGGAGGAGGGGCUUUUCAACAAAUGGCAAAAUAUUAUACUUGGUCACAUUUAAGUGGUUGUUGACAGGGGCUUACGGUCUCCCACACGCAUUUACGCGUUAACAAGGUACAUUUCUUAUUUUAAUUAUUUGGUAUAUAAUGAUUUUUGACAUGUCUUUAUUUUUUUUUUCAUCUCAAAAUUUUAAGUGGGGCGGCGCCCUACCGCCCUGUAUUGACGCACCGCCACUCCUUAGGAGUUAGCUUGCUAGUUUUAGACCAAAACACCUUACUUUUGUAUUAAGAAAGAUACAGUCUAAUUUAAUCUCUGAUAGGCACAUCUUAUAUUCUCUUUCAGGGAAACAUAGACAACAGAGGUAAGAUCAUAUGUGUUUUAUUCUUUCAAAUAACACGUUCACCGUUUUAAAGGACCAUAAGCUGCAACUGAUUUCCUGUGUAUCUUACAAACAGUUCAAAGGGUACUCUAGGCAGGACCAGACAGAGUAAGAUCCUAUAUGUCUUCACACUCACCAUAUGUGUAGCCUAUGUACUGGGAGGAACAUGCUAAUUUACAGACUAUUUUAUUUGUGUUUGUGUUUCAGAGAAUCACCCGGACAUUAUGCCUGCACAUAGUACAGUUAGAACUGUUGACACUGCUGGAACCAUGAUCACUUCAACAUCCCUGACUGUAGCUCCAGAUGUUGACAAAAGGGAAGACAUUUUCUCUGAACAGAUUUAUGCAAACCACUCUAUUAUCUACGACUCUAUUAUCUGACCCAGCAAGUAUCUCCAACCAGGGGGACCCCACAUACAGCUUGGUGCAGGACCACAGGAGCCCUGUUGUCACACAGCAGGACAUGACCUACAGCCUUCUGCAGGUGCACUGAUACAGAUGCACAUACUGCAUAUAGCAUUUAUUAUGCUUUAAAAGGCUAAUCUAAAAUUACUACAAUGACUAUGGUCUAUUGAAGGUUUGAUGGACAUCUUAUCCAGUGAAAUUUCUGUUGUAUUUUAGCUAGAAUGCAAAGAUUUCAGGAGGCA